GACGAACGCUGGCGGCGCGCUUAACACAUGCGAGUCGAACGGAAAGGCCUGCUUUCCCUUGUGGAUUGCGGGUACUCGAGUGGCGAACGGGUGAGUAACACGUGAGUGAUCUGCCCCCAACCUGGGUAUAAGCCUGGGAAACUGGGUCUAAUUCCCGAUAGGACUGCAGGGUGGUGCCUGUGGUGGAAAACGAUUUUCUAGUGGUUGGGGAUGAGCUCGCGGCCUAUCAGCUUGUUGGUGGGGUAAUGGCCUACCAAGGCGGCGACGGGUAGCCGGCCUGAGAGGGUGGACGGCCACAUUGGGACUGAGAUACGGCCCAGACUCCUACGGGAGGCAGCAGUGGGGAAUAUUGCACAAUGGGCGGAAGCCUGAUGCAGCGACGCCGCGUGGGGGAUGACGGCCUUCGGGUUGUAAACUCCUUUCGACCGCGAGGAAGCCACCUGGUUGGAAGGGUGGUGACGGUAGUGGUAGAAGAAGCACCGGCUAACUACGUG
RNAcentral lists this ribosomal RNA (494 nucleotides) under uncultured bacterium. RNAcentral's name for it is "partial 16S ribosomal RNA". It matches the Rfam family "Bacterial small subunit ribosomal RNA", at positions 28 to 507 of the family's 1533-position model. The record is from RNAcentral.